Molecule: ribosomal RNA, 468 nt
Filed under: uncultured bacterium
Lineage: Bacteria
Description: partial 16S ribosomal RNA
Rfam family: Bacterial small subunit ribosomal RNA
Source: RNAcentral
GACGAACGCUGGCGGCGUGCUUAACACAUGCAAGUCGAACGGAAAGGCCCUGCUUUUGUGGGGUGCUCGAGUGGCGAACGGGUGAGUAACACGUGAGUAACCUGCCCUUGACUUUGGGAUAACUUCAGGAAACUGGGGCUAAUACCGGAUAGGAGCUCCUGCUGCAUGGUGGGGGUUGGAAAGUUUCGGCGGUUGGGGAUGGACUCGCGGCUUAUCAGCUUGUUGGUGGGGUAGUGGCUUACCAAGGCUUUGACGGGUAGCCGGCCUGAGAGGGUGACCGGGCACAAUGGGGCGGGAGUUAGGCCCCGGCUUAUACGGGGAGGAAGCAGUGGGAAUAUUGCACAAUGGGCGGAAGCCUGAUGCAGCAACGCCGCGUGCGGGAUGACGGCCUUCGGGUUGUAAACCGCUUUCGCCUGUGACGAAGCGUGAGUGACGGUAAUGGGUAAAGAAGCACCGGCUAACUACGUG